AAAAUUCAAACUGAACAAACGGGCCUUUUUUCCUCUGGUUUUAAGACUCCAAAACAGAAAGCACAAAGGGCCCAUGCUCAUGUCUAAUACACUUUUGACAAGUUGGUCAGGGAGAAGAAACUAGGACUCAGAGUUGACAGAAAAGUGAGUACAAGUGGUGGCUGAAUUCCUCAAGAAAAUUUACUCAGAAGAAAUAUUCUAUUCAGGUUUGUGGCAUGUUCCUUUGAAUUCCAUGAGGUGAAUACUUAAGGUGAGGCCAAUGCUGCUGGUACAUGGACCACCCUUUGAGUAGCAAGCAUCUUGGUGACAUAAAAGGAAGGCAUGAACAAAAACCUCUUUUGAUGAACAGUUCGUGAGGAUUUUAUUGAUGAAUAAACUAGAAAUUUUCAUACAUCGGAAGGAAGAAUCUCAAAGUUCCUCUGUUCUAUUCCUAUUUAAUGAGAGCUUGGUUAAAGGUCAUGAAUUCCUGGUGCCCAGUGACCCUGAAGUUGGCAGAAAGCAAAGUGGACAUUCUGGACCUCAAUAAUCUCUGUUUCUAAUAGAAAGGAGCACCAAGGAUAGCCAGAGUCCAUCAAAGUGAUUUCUAUUUUUUGGUGUUUUCUUAUAUUUAAUGGUAAAAAUCUAUGCAAAACCAUCACAUCUGAAUUCAUACAUAUAAACCAAGAGAUGACAAAGAGACCACACAUAGUGAUUGGUAGAGUGCUGGAAAUACCUGCUGACUGAAAUGCUUUUCAAAACAGAUUAAUUGCUGCUCAUUUCUCUGCUACUCUAAGAAGGUCUGACACCGCACAGCUUUCGAAAUAGGACAUGCAACGUCCCUUACAAUGGAUUUCAUGCCAUUACUCAGUACCCCACUGAUAUAAUAAAAGGCUGACUCAUUUCCUUUC
Macaca mulatta (Rhesus monkey) is the source of this 887-nucleotide non-coding RNA. The record is from RefSeq and is a predicted model, not a curated record. Lineage: Eukaryota; Metazoa; Chordata; Mammalia; Primates; Cercopithecidae.